UGGGGAAUAUUGCACAAUGGGCGCAAGCCUGAUGCAGCCAUGCCGCGUGUAUGAAGAAGGCCUUCGGGUUGUAAAGUACUUUCAGCGGGGAGGAAGGUGUUGAGGCUAAUAACCUCAGCAAUUGACGUUACCCGCAGAAGAAGCACCGGCUAACUCCGUGCCAGCAGCCGCGGUAAUACGGAGGGAGCAAGCGUUAAUCGGAAUUACUGGGCGUAAAGCGCACGCAGGCGGUCUGUCAAGUCGGAUGUGAAAUCCCCGGGCUCAACCUGGGAACUGCAUUCGAAACUGGCAGGCUAGAGUCUUGUAGAGGGGGGUAGAAUUCCAGGUGUAGCGGUGAAAUGCGUAGAGAUCUGGAGGAAUACCGGUGGCGAAGGCGGCCCCCUGGACAAAGACUGACGCUCAGGUGCGAAAGCGUGGGGAGCAAACA
This 427-nucleotide ribosomal RNA is filed under the name uncultured bacterium. Its description in RNAcentral is "partial 16S ribosomal RNA". It matches the Rfam family "Bacterial small subunit ribosomal RNA", at positions 355 to 774 of the family's 1533-position model. The record is from RNAcentral.